This 507-nucleotide ribosomal RNA is filed under the name uncultured bacterium. RNAcentral describes it as "partial 16S ribosomal RNA". The record is from RNAcentral.
GGAGUUAGCCGGUGCUUCUUCUGUGAGUGAUGUCCUUCCUGCCGGCUAUUAACCCGCAGGCCUUCUUCCUCACUGAAAGUGCUUUACAACCCGAAGGCCUUCUUCACACACGCGGCAUGGCUGGAUCAGGGUUGCCCCCAUUGUCCAAUAUUCCCCACUGCUGCCUCCCGUAGGAGUCUGGGCCGUGUCUCAGUCCCAGUGUGGCUGAUCAUCCUCUCAGACCAGCUACGGAUCGUCGCCUUGGUGAGCCGUUACCUCACCAACCAGCUAAUCCGACAUAGGCUCAUCCGAUAGCGCGAGGCCCGAAGGUCCCCCGCUUUCCCCCGUAGGGCGUAUGCGGUAUUAGCCUGGGUUUCCCCAGGUUAUCCCCCACUACCGGGCAGAUUCCUAUUCAUUACUCACCCGUCCGCCGCUCGCCACCAGGGAGCAAGCUCCCCGUGCUGCCGCUCGACUUGCAUGUGUUAGGCCUGCCGCCAGCGUUCAAUCUGAGCCAGAAUCAAACUCUGA